RNAcentral lists this ribosomal RNA (557 nucleotides) under uncultured bacterium. Its description in RNAcentral is "bacterial SSU rRNA". It matches the Rfam family "Bacterial small subunit ribosomal RNA", at positions 338 to 916 of the family's 1533-position model. The record is from RNAcentral.
CCUACGGGAGGCAGCAGUGGGGAAUAUUGGACAAUGGGCGAAAGCCUGAUCCAGCAAUGCCGCGUGAGUGAUGAAGGCCUUAGGGUCGUAAAGCUCUUUUACCCGGGAUGAUAAUGACAGUACCGGGAGAAUAAGCCCCGGCUAACUCCGUGCCAGCAGCCGCGGUAAUACGGAGGGGGCUAGCGUUGUUCGGAAUUACUGGGCGUAAAGCGUACGUAGGCGGUUAUUCAAGUCAGAGGUGAAAGCCCGGGGCUCAACCCCGGAACGGCCUUUGAAACUAGAUAGCUAGAGUCUUGGAGAGGUCAGUGGAAUUCCGAGUGUAGAGGUGAAAUUCGUAGAUAUUCGGAAGAACACCAGUGGCGAAGGCGACUGACUGGACAAGUACUGACGCUGAGGUACGAAAGCGUGGGGAGCAAACAGGAUUAGAUACCCUGGUAGUCCACGCCGUAAACGAUGAUAACUAGCUGUCCGGGUACUUGGUAUCUGGGUGCGCAGCUAACGCAUUAAGUUAUCGCCUGGGGAUACGGUCGCAGNUUAAAACUCAAAGGAAUUGACGG